UGUUGCAAGGUUGAGUAUGGAUCUCAGCUGUGAAAAUCUCACUGAAAGUCAACGGCAGAGAUUAGACAAAAGUGAUAGUGGCACUUGUAUUUAUUUUGUCCACACAUCUUAUAAGAGAAAUCUCCAUGAGAUCCAACGUAAGCACCGGCGACAUCAUCUUAUUUAGAUGCAUGCUCUGAUAGAUAUGCAGCAUAUGCUCACAUUUUCCUCUUUUCUUCAUAAGCACCAGCAACACCAUCUUCUUCCGACUCCACCUUCUUCCGAUUCAGAGAAUGUCUACCACGUCCCUUCAGUUCAGCACCAUCCCCACUCAUUCCACUACUAGUACAACGACAGUCACCACCAAUUCCUUCUUCUUCAUCCUCUAUUACAUCUAAUGAUGAUAAUCACAAAAUUUUUGAUCAAUUUCAAUCAAAAUUAACGGGUAUCUGGAGAAAUUAGUGAUUAUUACUGAAUUAGAUAAAGAUGAAAAUGCUGCUGGUGGUGAUGAAUUAAUGUGUAUGAAUUAACUUACAAGGAAAUAGAGAAUCUGUUCUUUCCAAGAAAUGAGAAAACAGAUGGUGAAUGAUGAUGAUAUAUUGGUACAAAAGAAGAGUUAGAGUCUGUGGUUAUUGAGUCUCAGAGAUUUGAGUUGAAAAUGAAUUUGUAAUGGGUGAUCUUGAAGCUGUAGAAAAUUUAUGGAUACUGUGGUUUGGUUAUGAAUUCAGGGGUGCAAUUAGUGAUGGUAUUUGAUGGAAGUCUUGAGAAGAAGCAGCACAAAUGGCUCAAGAAUGGUGGUUGUUUGAGAAUGUCUUGUAGAGGAUCUAAUUGAAGUAAUCUGGGUUUGUAGUUGUUUGAGAAAUCAAGGUGUUCAGAUUUUUUGGGCAUUGAUUGUUACUAAUUGAUGGGUUGAAAGAUGAUGAUAUGUUAGAGAUUUUUAUGAACAAAGAUAUUGGGAAAUAUAAGAUACAUGAUAAGAUAAAUGUUUGUGAGAAAGUAAUGCAGCUUGUAAAAUGAAGAAUGAUUACAGGAUGUGUAAAAGAUUAAGUGUAUGCAAGCUUUGUUUUCGUGAUAUCGGUCGCUAUAUGAAGGUAGUUUCCUGUAUACAACUAAUGCAUCCAGUUCUGAUGCAAAUUUCAUUCAGUAAUCUUGGUUCUAUAGACGUUCAAUAUGAUGCAUAUCUGUUUUUUUAAGCAUAGAUGCAUCUUUUGAUGAUGUUGUAGUUUAAUGAAGAACUUUCUGCAUUUUACUGGUGCUGAGUGUGGGAUUACUUUUUUCAGUGGCUAUUGUGCUCAUGGAAUGAGUAUUUGGUUCACUUUCAUGGAUAUUGUUGCUAGUUAGUUCAGUUGGAGCUGAUAGUGAUGGAUUCAGAAGUUUUUCGUGUGCUAUACUUCACCUGCUACUUGUAUUGAGUACUGCAUGUGUACGUGUGAGUGCAAGUGCGCAUUGGUGAUUGUUUGCAAUAAUUAUGAUGGCCUGGAGUUAAGUUACAACACUUUUGUUGGUGAUUCUAUUGAUUGUUUGCGUGUUAAAGUGUUGGUACAGUGGAAUGCAGAUAGUGAUAGUGACAUGAGCUGCAACAGAUAGUGACAAGAAGAAAUCGUGGUUGCUUAAUAGGUUUUGCUUGUGAUGCUGCAAAGCAGAGUUGAGAUAGGUAAUAGCUGAGAAAGAAAUGGGUAAUUGCAGGUGAAGUUCUUGUAGUGUUGCAGGAUUGAAUGACAUGAUUGCAGGUAAAUGUUGUUGAAGAUGGAUUGCUAUUUGUAUAGAGCAGUUGUUUAUCGGUGGUGAUGUGUAUUUGGUCAUCAUGGGUUGCUAGAGAAUUUUGAAGCCAAUUCAUGAGUGGAAAGCGUAAAACAGAUGGUGACUUUGAUGACACGUGAAAAAAAUGAUGACGUGGACAAUGUACACGUGUAUACCCAGUCAGAAUCGAGUUAUUGGUAGAAUCGGUGAUUUAAAUGACAACUAGGCGAGUUUAAGGA
Long non-coding RNA from Papaver somniferum (opium poppy), 1958 nucleotides. RefSeq lists it as uncharacterized. The transcript has 2 exons. The record is from RefSeq and is a predicted model, not a curated record. NCBI's taxonomy places the organism in Eukaryota, Viridiplantae, Streptophyta, Magnoliopsida, Ranunculales, Papaveraceae.